GGAUAUAAGGGUGAUCUGGCUGUGACAUCUGUCAUCCCAUUGAUCGCCAGGAUUGAUUUGGCUGAGCUGCCUGGCUAGGCGGGUAUCCCCUUCCUCUAUCACCGCUCCAUGUGUGUCCCUCAUGAAGCUGUGUUCUUGGUCAAAGAGGAUGACCUUCCCCAAUAGAGGAGGACCGUUCUUCAGUCAAGGGUAUAUGAGUAGCUGUGCUCCCCCGCUAGAACCUCCAAACAAGCUCUCAAGGUCCAUUUGUAGGAGAACAUUGGGUAGUCAAGCUUCCAAGACUCCAGACACAUCCAAAUGAGGCACUGCAUGUGACAGUCUGCCUUUCUAU
Molecule: unclassified non-coding RNA, 331 nt
Organism: Panthera pardus (leopard)
Lineage: Eukaryota; Metazoa; Chordata; Mammalia; Carnivora; Felidae
Gene: 7SK
Rfam family: 7SK RNA
About the family: 7SK was discovered as an abundant small nuclear RNA in the mid-70s but a possible function has only recently been suggested. Two independent studies have found that 7SK RNA binds the CDK9/cyclin T complex (known as elongation factor P-TEFb).
Source: Ensembl